This 826-nucleotide ribosomal RNA is filed under the name uncultured Pseudomonadota bacterium. RNAcentral describes it as "bacterial SSU rRNA". It matches the Rfam family "Bacterial small subunit ribosomal RNA", at positions 73 to 902 of the family's 1533-position model. The record is from RNAcentral. Lineage: Bacteria; Pseudomonadati; Pseudomonadota.
CCUGUAGCAAUACAGGUGGCGCACGGCGCACGGGUGCGUAACACGUGGGUAAUCUGCCCUCUGAUGGGGAAUAACUCGCCGAAAGGCGAGCUAAUUCCGCAUAACAUUCCGAGAACUUCGGUUUUUGGACUCAAAGGCGUAAGUCGUCGGAGGAGGAGCCCGCGCACGAUUAGCUAGUUGGUGAGGUAAUGGCUCACCAAGGCUAUGAUCGUUAGCUGGUCUGAGAGGAUGGCCAGCCACACUGGAACUGAGACACGGUCCAGACUCCUACGGGAGGCAGCAGUGGGGAAUCUUGCACAAUGGGCGAAAGCCUGAUGCAGCGACGCCGCGUGGGGGAUGAAGCUUCUCGGAGUGUAAACCCCUUUCGACCCGGACGAAUACCUCGCAAGAGGGGUGACGGUACGGGUAUAAGAAGCCCCGGCUAACUACGUGCCAGCAGCCGCGGUAAGACGUAGGGGGCCAGCGUUGUUCGGAAUUACUGGGUGUAAAGGGUUCGUAGGCGGUGUGGCAAGUCGGGAGUGAAAUCUCUGGGCUCAACUCAGAGACUGCUUCCGAAACUGCUGUGCUGGAGUGUGGGAGAGGCGCGUGGAAUUGCAGGUGUAGCGGUGAAAUGCGUAGAUAUCUGCAGGAACACCCGUGGCGAAAGCGGCGCGCUGGACCACUACUGACGCUGAGGAACGAAAGCUAGGGGAGCAAACAGGAUUAGAUACCCUGGUAGUCCUAGCCCUAAACGAUCAGGACUUGGGGUGCCACCCGUUCGGGUGUCGUCCCGGAGCUAACGCGUUAAGUCCUGCACCUGGGGAGUACGGUCGCAAGACUGAAACUC